Molecule: long non-coding RNA, 11022 nt
Filed under: Gossypium raimondii (Peruvian cotton)
Lineage: Eukaryota; Viridiplantae; Streptophyta; Magnoliopsida; Malvales; Malvaceae
Description: long non-coding RNA (GRAI_LNC010228)
Source: RNAcentral
UUUGUAUAUGGAGGUUGGCAACAGGGGAGCCGCUUAGGCUUGUUUCAAAACGAUUUGGACUUGGGAUUUCAACUUGUCAUAAGCUGGUAUUAGAGGUAUGUUCAGCGAUAAACAAUGUCUUGAUGCCCAAGUUUCUUCAAUGGCCCGAUGAGAAGAAAAUGAAAGAAAUUAAUGAAGAAUUUGAGUUGAUAUCGGGGGUACCAAAUAUAGGAGGUUCAUUGUAUACAACUCAUGUACCAAUUAUAGCACCUAAAGUUAAUGUAGCAGCUUAUUUCAAUAGAAAGCAUACAGAAAGGAACCAGAAGCCUUCUUAUUCAAUUACAGUACAAGGAGUGGUUGAUCAAAAAGGGAUUUUCACAGAUGUUUGUAUUGGAUGGCCUGGUUCAAUGCCUGAUGAUCAAGUGUUUGAGAAGUCUGCUUUGUUCCAAAGGGGUUUGAAGGAUGUUUGGAUUGUUGGGAAUUCUGGGAAUCCUUUAAUGGAUUGGGUUUUGGUCCCUUAUACACAUCAAAAUUUGACUUGGGCUCAACAUGGUUUCAAUGAAAAAAUGGGUGUGGUUCAAAAUGUUGCUAAAGAAGCAUUUGCUAGAUUAAAAGGGAGGUGGUCUUGCUUACAAAGGAGAACUGAGGUGAAGCUUCAAGAGUUGCCAAUGGUGCUUGGAGCUUGCUGUGUUUUGCAUAAUAUUUGUGAGAUGAACAACGAAGAGAUGGACCCUGAAUUACAGUUUGAGCUAUUUGAUGAUGAGAAGAUAGCUGAAAACAACUUGAGGUCUUCUAAUGCUGUGCUUGCUAGGGAUAAUAUUGCCCAUAAUCUGUUACACCACGGUCUUGGUGGAACUAGUCUUCUGUAGUAUUUCAAUAACAUGUCAUAGUCCAUUAUGUAAAACUCAAAGCAACAAAAGUCUAAAAGCUUAUUACACAAAAGAAUUUAGGUUAUACAAUUGAUAAACCUCUCUUCAAUCUAUAGUAUGCUUAAAUAAUUGUUCUAUGGUAAUCCUGGGAAUUCGAUAGACUAAUAACAUAGUACAGAUCACCGACUNNNNNNNNNNNNNNNNNNNNNNNNNNNNNNNNNNNNNNNNNNNNNNNNNNNNNNNNNNNNNNNNNNNNNNNNNNNNNNNNNNNNNNNNNNNNNNNNNNNNNNNNNNNNNNNNNNNNNNNNNNNNNNNNNNNNNNNNNAUGGCAAAACUGCAAAGAGUGGAUCUCCGUAACCAACGGCGUCUGUUCAACACAGUUGAAACAAAGGCAAGAGUUAAAUGCAAAUCAACUUUAAUCUACUCUCCAGUAAUUAUGCAUGUGGCAUUGCCAUACAAAGGUGUUUUAGACAUUUAAACCGAAAUAAAUAUGAAAUGCACAGAUAAAAUUAUACCUCCAUCUUCGAAGAGGAUCUUUAAGACUGUUCCAGCUAUAUCAGACUGUUUUAACAAAUACAAAACACAAGCCAGUGAACACCUACUUAAUGUGUGUAUAUAUAUAUAUAUAUAAAAUAAUAACAAGUGGAGAUAAAUUGAAUUCACCUUAACAGGUAGUUCAAAACCAAAUUGAUUCAAGAAUCCUAUCACUUGUCCUUCUUUGAUCAAAUCACCCUGCAAGUAUUUAUUACUUACGAGGAUCAAGAAAAGCCAGGUGAAGAUACAAGAUCAUGAUAGUAAGAAAUCUACAACAUCAGCAUUAUCUGUAAUCAAAGAAUGUUUGAAAUGUUUUAGCUCCGAAUGCCCAAUUGACACUGAAAUAAUACCUCCUUACAGAUAGGAGGUUGCCUUUUUCCCUUGAUUGUUCUACCUCUUUGGAAUAUACCAACCUGCAGUAAAGUGAUGCAACUUAAAAACGAUGUUCAAAGAGAUAUAGGAUACAACAUAACCCUAGCUCUUCAGAAACAGCACAUACAACGGGAGAAGGUACUAGAACAUAGUUGCUAGAUCCAGAAGCCUCCAAGGCAGCUAACUUGGAUGACUGCCCAAAGGCAGAGCUUUUAAAUGGAGAAGGCUUCUCAGGAGAGGGUUUAGGUGGUGAUGGAGGUGGGGUAGCAGCAGCUGCUUCAUUCAUUGGUUCAGUUGGGAUUGAUGGGGCUGUUGUAGGUGAAAUGUUAGACAUGGGAGCUUUUGUGGCACCAACAUUCCGCUUCAGAUGCAUUUCGAAGUCCCCAAUCUGUCACCAUGAAACAGAUAACUGAUUCAACAAAUAUUGUACUUUGUGGGAAAAUGCAAUCCAUAAAACAAACUGAAAACCUGAAGAUGGCUAGCUGCACUGAGACGUAUCUUUGCCAAACUUUUCAGGUUAAUUAAUGAGACACGAAACUAAGUUUAGCAGAAGCAUGCAAGCAUCUGACAUGACAAGAGAAAAGGAAGUAACCUUCAUUUUCAGCUCCGCGACCUCAGUUUCAUCACACACCUCCAGAAUCAAUGCCUGACAGUUUAAGCAAUUAAAUGUUAACUAUCAAUCCAUGUAGAAUCCAAAGGAAGAACUUUUUGUUAGAUAAAUACGAAAGGAGUAAAAAGUAAGAGUGAACUAUUCUCAAAAAGAAGUGUGAGCAAUGACAAGCAAUAAUGAAAAAGACUCAGUUUGGAGAUUUAGUAAUCACCUCAAAUCCAUUUGGAAAAGUUGCUUUCCGUGAAGGUUUCUUCUCCAAUGAGCCUUUCUUGGUGCUCUCUGGUGGAACUGUGGCAAACAUGAUUAACACUUUUAGCAUGCAAAACAAGACAAAUGCUAAAGCUAAAGUAACUAUAUAAUAAAUUACUUUAAUAUCCAUCUUGAUUUAGGUAUUUAAAAGAAAAAAAAAUAGUUUUGCUUUUGACAAUCAGUAUAAAUCAUCAAUAAUGAAAAGCCAAGUUUGAAUAUAAGAAUAAACCCAAAUGCAAAAGUGAUUAGUUUUAGCACUGAGUCGUGAUUCAGUGGCAGCUAAACUAUAAUGAAUUAAAUUUUUGAGAAAAGAGAAUCAUGAGAUAAAAUUUUAAUCAGAAGGCAAUAUAAUGUCACCAUUUGACUUGGCUGUUGCCGUAGCUUCAGGCGUCUUUGCAGAGGAUGCUAAAACUACAGUUCGUCUUGUAGAAGAAUUGUUCUUCCCUCCAAACAUCAAGCCUGGAACACAUGAUUUUCUUGAAUUUGGCCAGCAACUAGAAGACAUAUGCAAUGUACUGGGCCUUUCAUGCGUGCAACAAGCUUGUGAAACAGCACUUACAGAAUCUAAAAUUUUAAUAACAGCACAUGAACUUUCAAUGGCCAAAAAAAGCCACAUAUGCAAAAUGCAAAUUCAUAAAAUUGCAUACAUAUUGCAACCAUACUUUGCUAAUGUGAAGAAAUCAAAAGCCUAUAUGAUAAAUGGAUGCCAACAAAGAACCAGAUAAGCCAGCAGCGACCAUGUUAUUUGUACCAAGGACAUCACACCACAGAUUAUACACAGGAGAAGAAACACAAUUUUACAUACUAUCUCAACUAAAAGACUCUAAAGAACAAGAAAUACAACAUUCCAAAUACUGAAGACGUUCAAAAUACACUUGUAGCUAUUGCUUGUCAGUUAGACAAAUACAUAGUUCACUUGGCAUCUUAAGAAGAAAUUCAGCACCCACUUUUUCUAUUUUAGUUCUUCCCACUUUCAUUGCUGAGGGAAGACAUUGACCAAUCAAGAAGCUUAAACUUUUCAUAAAAAAAACAUUUCUAUAAUAUACUUAAACUUUAAACCUCAUCGUUCAACAAUAGAAGCAAUCAAUGAAAGGAGCUAAUAUUUUUACAAGAGAAUAAGAUAGUCCCAGCAUUAUACUUCCACCUAAAUAAUGAAACCCAAAUGAAAAUUACAACAUUCCGAAAAGAACUUCCAAAACUAGCUUCCACUAAACCUCCCCUCAAAGAUUUAUUUCCUUUUUAAUUAUUAUUUGAAUAUCGGUUAUUGGAGCAAGAACCUAGCAUGAUCUCAAAAAUAAACUGUUAUAAAAACAAUAUUGUUGAUGUGCCUCGUCUAUGCCAAGAGCCCUGUGAGUUUACAAGCUCAGGCAUCAAUGGGAAAGCAUAGUACCACCUGAACUAGCUAACUCAAUUGCACCUGGCAACUUUGUAAACUCGACGGCUGUUCAGGCAUUUGGGCUACCGACAGUGUGGAGAGACAAAACUUCCGCCGAACCCUCAACAAAUAUAAUCAGUAAAAAAAACUCUAAUUUUAUUUGAAGGAAAUUAGGUUGACAUAGUUAGCUAGCUUAACAUUCUCAGCUGAUAUUCACAGCAUUAAAAGAAGUAAAUAGAAAAAAAAAUUAGAAAGAAAAAAAAAGAAGAAGCAGAUCUCCGCAGCUUUUGGAGCUAAUUUCAAAUUUCUCAGCGUCGAAAGCACUAUAAUUGACACUACAACUAAAAAUAUGACGAAAAUAAAUAAAUACAAUUACUAGAUCCAAAACUUAUAAAAGAACACUCAAAAUUAUUCAGAAAUGGAUAUGAGAGAGAGUUACAGUGAAAGGAACGGAGAGCAGCGGAGGACUCCAUUGGAAGAGAAGAGAGAGAGAGGGGGACUCGACAAUGAAGGGAAGGGGCAAAAUGGGGAAAAACUAAAUGAAAUAGAAAGAGGAUUGGUUAUUGAAGCGUUUGGUGGAAGAGUGUUAAAUUAGACACACAAAGAGAGAGAGCGCUUCGAAAUGUCCGCCGUUUUUCCUCAGUUUCUCCACCUUUUUAAACAACUGCACUCCUCUAACGUGCACCUUCGGGUUGUAAGCACCUGGUUUAUUUAAUUUUGUUUUUAUAAAUUAUAUGAUAAAUAAGUAUUUGCUUCAGUGAUUAAAUAAUAUGGUUGUGUGUUUAAGGUCUUGUGUUUAAGUUUUAUUUUUGAAAAUUUUGUUAUUUUUGUUCCUAGCCUUAUCCUUGAUUGCUUGACUUAAAUUUUACUUACAAUCAACUUAUAUUAGAAUGAGUUUAUCGGUUCAAGUGUUGAGGUGUUAGCUUGCCCUAUGGUCCUAUGUUUGAACUCCUCUGUGAGUGAAAGAUGAUAAUUUUUGCUUUCGAAUGUGUGUAUCGGUGAUGUAAUAGAGGUUCGGUGGAAUUGAAAGUCUAUAGUAGUGGAUGAGAGUUAGUAGGUCGGUUUUAGUAGGAUUUGUUAGUUAGUGUGAUAGUGAGGAGUUGGGAUUUUAUUUGAGUUUUUUUUUUAACUUUUAAUUUUUAUUCUUUCCCCAAACUCUUCUUCUUCCUGACAUUUUUUUUCUUUGUCUUUCUCUGCAAACCUUUUGCUUCUUCUUUCCUUUGAAUUUUGUUCGAAAACAUUCAUUCAAAUCGCUGAGUUUUGGUUUCGUGUUCCCUAUUUGGAUUGGUAGGUAAGUGUUCUUUAAAUUCGUGUAAUAGUGGAUUUGUUUUCGGGUGUGUUAAUGUUGUGAACUCUUGUGGUAGGUGUUAAUUAAGGGGAUCGAAAUUUGUCUUCUACUGUGUAGUUGUGGUUGGUCCGACGUAUUUGUCUCGGUAAGUAGUUGAACUUUGGAAGGAUUGUUUUCGAUUUAUAAGGCUAAUAAUUUCGAGUAUGUCGUUUGGGGUUUUGGUAAUCUGGUGAUUCAAUACGUAGAAUUGAUCGUUUGUAUGAUGUUUCUAGGUUCUAAAGGUCUCGUGGUGGUAUUUUCGUCGAAAGUGAACCAGGUGUGUAAUGAGAAACUAGAAAAACAAUGACAGGCGAAAGCCAAAAAUUAGGUCUACCGAGCCACACGGCCGUGUGUCUGGCCGUGUGGUAGGCCGUGUGUCACACACCCGUGACCGAGUCACACGACCGUGUGGUAGGCCGUGUGCAACACACAGCCGUGUCACGGGUGUGUGACACACGACCUAGGUCAUUUUGGGCGUGUAGGCCACACGGGCAAGGCCAUUUUGGGUGUGUGGGCCACAGGAGAAUGUAAGCCCAAAUUUUAUAAUUUCUCCUUAGGGUCGUACAUGUCAUCCCGGUUAACUGUGGUCCUUUCGUGGGGUUAAUAUGGGCUUAGAUAAGCCUUAAAGCAUGGAAUUGGAUAAAUUUUUUAUAUGGUAUCUAGCAUAAACAAUACCUAAAUGCAUGUAAUGUAAUGCAAAAUGUAUGACCUGCUAUGUAUAUGCAUGUCUAUUGUCUGUUAUUCGAGCAUGUUUCAUAUAAUAAUUUUGGUAUCUAGGAUUUGAUAAUUCUAUUUUAUCUGGUAUGCUAUUGUAUCUGACUAUGGGGCGGGAUAUGUGACAUGUGGAGGAAGUAUUUUGUGAGGCGAUAUCUCGCCAAUAUGUUGGCAGCACAGCUGCGAUUAUUCUGAAAAGUGUCUUAUGGAUGUUAAGUGAUGUGUAGGGCUGGGUGGGUAUUUUAUACCCCCACGUGGUGUGUUGAGAUGGUCAGAGUUGGUGUAUAGAGGAUAGGGGUAAAACUAUGCAUAUCUGUAUAUGUAUAUGAUUUUGUUUACAAUCUAAUUUUUUAAAAGGGAUUUAUGUUUGCAUAUGUUUUGCCAUGUGAUUGAAUUUAAAAUUAUAUUUCUGAUAAGUUACACACUGAGUUUCAAAACUCACUUUCUGUUUGUUUGAUCUGUUAGGCAAUCCUUAGACUUAGGAUAGUCCGUGCGACGAAAGCUCAGUGGUGACCACAUUUCCGUAUAAAUUUCAUGCCUUUAAAAUUAAUUUAAAUUUUUCUAAUUUUUUUAGAGUUUUGUAAUUUUAGAACUCUCUGGACAUUUUGGUUUAAUUUUUGAAUUUGGAUUUAAUUUGGAAUUUUUGGCACGAGGUUCGACAAAACGAUUUACGAAAACAAAUAUUUUAUGCAACCAUACGUUUUUUUUUGCGGAGACAAACUCGGUUUUCAAAAUAAAUAAAUGACUAAAAACUUUAGCUGUAAAUUAUCUGUUUUAUUGAAAGAGUAAGCAACCGACGCUUUCCUCUUAUGAGUGUAACAACAUGUUUUUUAAAAUAAGUGGCCUCUUAAAUAAAUAAAGAGGUACGAUGUUUUUAAAGAAAAAGACUAAUUUUUAACUUUUCUUCGUAACAUUUUCAGAUUCAACCAUAAUGUCUAGACCGAGUUUGGGGUGUUACAGGGGUGGUGCCCGCCUCCUACUUACAUGGUACCCAUUAAGUUUCGAUAGAUAAAAUUGAAUCAAAUCAAUAAAAAAAUAAAAUAUAUAUAAUUAAAUAAUUUUACUUAGAACCAAUAUAUAUAAGAGAGAACGUUUCAAAAUUUCCGUCGUUUUUCCUCAGUUUCUCUACCUUUUAAAACGAAUGCAUUCCUCUAACGUGCAUCGUUGGGUUGUAACGAACUGAUUUAUUUAACUUUUUUUUAUUAUGAAUUAUGUGAUAAAUAUGUAUCUACUUAAGUGAUUAAGUGACAUGGGUGUGUGUUUAAGAUUUUGGGUUUAUGUCUCAUUUGUAGAAAUUUUGCUAUUUUUGUUCCUAGCCUUAUCCUUUAUUGCUUCACUUAAAUUUUAUUUACGGUUAACUUAUAUCAGAACAAGCUUAUUGGUUCAAGUGUUAAGGUGUUAGCUUGUCUUAUGAUCCUAGUUCGAACUCCUGUGUGAGUGAAGGAUGAUAAUUUUUGCUUCUGAGUGUGUGAAUCGGUGGUGUACUAGAGGUUCGGUGGAAUUGAAAGUCUUUAGCAGUGGGUCAAUUUUAGUGGGAUUUGUUGGUUAGUGUGAUAGUGGGGAGUUGGGAUUUUAUUUGAGUUAUUUUUUUUAAUUUUUAAUUUUUAAUUUUUAAUUUUUAAUUUUUAUUCUUUUUCCCAAAGUCUUCUUCUUCGUAACUUUUUUUUCUCUGUCUUUCUCUACAAACCUUUUGCUUCUUCUUUCUUUUGAAUUUUGUUCACAAAACAUUUGUUCAAAUCUUUGCGUUUUGGUUUCGUGUUCCUUAUUCGGAUUGGUAGGUAAGUGUUCUUUAAAUUCAUGUAAUAGUGGAUUUAUUUUUGGGUGUGUUAAUGUUGUGAACUCUUGUGGUAGGUGUUAAUCAAGGGGAUCAAAAUUUGUCUUCUACUGUGUAGUUGUGGUUGGUCUAACGUAUCUGUCUCGGUAAGUAGUUGAACUCUGGAAGGAUUAUUUUCAGUUUAUAAGGCUAAUACUUUCGAGUAUUUUGUUUGGGGUUUUAGUAAUCCGAUGAUUCAAUACGUAGAAUUGAUCGUUUGUAUGAUGUUUCUAGGUUCUAGAGGUCUCGUGGUGGUAUUCGUGUCGAAAAUGAACCAGGUGUGUAAUGAGAAACUCGAAAAAUAAUGAUCGGUAAAAUCUAAAAAUUGGGUCUGUUGAGUCACACGGCCAUGUGUCGGAUUGUGUGGAAGGUCGUGUGCGACAUACAGUUAUGUGAAAGGCUGUGUGUGACACACGGCCGUGUGACGGGCGUGUGUAACACGGCCUACGCCAUUUUGGGCGUGUCGGCCACACGGGCAAGACCUUUCCAGGCGUGUGGGGCACACGAGGAUAUAAGCCCAAAUUUCAUAAUUUCUCCAUAGGGUCGUACAUGUCAUCUUGAUCGGCUGUGGUCCUUUCGUGGGGUUAGUAAGGGUUUAGAUAAGCCUUAAAGCAUGAAAUUAGAUAAACUGUUUGUAUGGUAUCUAGCAUAAGCAAUACCUAAAUGCAUGUAAUGUAAUGCAAAUUGUAUGUUUAUUAUCUAUUAUUCGAGCAUGUUUGAUAUAAUAAUUCUGGUAUCUGGGAUCUAAUAAUUUUAUUUUAUUUGGUAUGUUGUAUCUGACUAUGGGGCGGGAUAUGUGGAGGAAGUAUUCUUUGAGGCGAUAUCAUGCCAAUAUACUGGUAGUACGGCUACGAUUAUUCUGAAAAGUGCCGUAUUGACACUAUGUGGUGUGUAAGGUUGGGUGGGUGCUUUAUACCUCAUGUGGUGUGUUAGGAUGGUCGAAGUUGGUAUGUGGAGGAUGAUGGUCAGACUAUGCACAUCUGUAUCUGUAUGAUUAUGUUUAAAAUUUGAUUUUGUAAAAGGGAUUUAUGUUUUUGUUGGAUUUGUCAUGUGAUUGAAUCUAUAACUAUGUUUAUAAUGAGUUACACACUGAGUUUCAAAGCUCACUCUCUGUUUGUUUGAUCUGUUUAGGUAACCCUCAGACUUAAGAGGGUCGGUGCGACGGAAGUUUAGUCUUGACCACAUUUCCGUAUAAAUUUCAUGCUUUUAAAAUUAGUUUAAACUUUUCUGAUUUUUUUAAGAGUUAUGUAAUUUUGAGACUCUCUAUACAUUUGGGGUUUAAUUUUUAGAUUUGGAUUUGAUUUGGGGUUUCUGGCACAACGUCCGACUAAACGAUUUACAAAAACAAAUGUUUUAUGCAACCAAACAUUUUUUGCGAAGACAAACUCGGUUUUCAAAAUAUAUAAACGACUAAAAACUUUAGCAGCAAAUUAUCUAUUUUAUUGAAAGAGUAAACAACUGACGGUUUCCUCUUAUGAGUGUAACAUGUUUUUUAAAAUAAGUAGUCUCUUAAAGAAAUAAAGAGGUACGAUAUUUUUACAGGAAAAGACGAAUAUUUAACUUUUCUUCAUAACAUUUUAAGAUUCGACCAUAACGUCUAGCCCGAAUUUGGGUAUUACAGGGGUGCUGUCCGCCACCUGCUUACAUGCAUCCCUUAAGUUUUGUAUGUAACAAAUUCGGAUAAUUUAAUUAAUUCUAAUAAUCUUAUUCAAAUUUAAAAGAGAUUUAUGAAUUUCAAUUUGACAAAAAUCCUAAAUAUUCAAUCAAUUUAACCAAUAGUUAAAUAAAUACUUUUUACCCAUUUUCGGCUACUUCCCUCUAACCUUCCCCUAUCUAUAAAUCAACCUAUCCUAAGCCUAAUGACACAUCUAUCAAACUUUCCCUUUUUCACUUUAAAAAUUCUUUAAAUAGAAAAUAAUAUUCUUCUCAAUCUCACACAGCCUUCAACCGCGUUAAACUCCCAUCAAAACUAAAUCCCAGGAAAGUCAAGUCACCGUCAAAACCACCGUGUUCACACCCCCCACCCCCCACGCGCUUCCUUUACCCGCUGACCUUCCUCCUUUUAUAUGUCUUAUUUGGUUCCAUGCAUAUAUAUAUGCCUAACUCCAAUACCCUUUGUUCCCAUAUGGACAUUUCUUCUUUCUCAUUUCUUAGUCCCGAAGAUUUUUGUAGUAUUAGUACUAACCUCUGGUUCCAAGACUUUGAUAACGGGUUCAACAAAAGGCGUAAGAAGGAAGAUGAUUCCAAGGGUGGCUUUGGCAAUGGGUGUUUCAAUGAAGAAGGACCGAAGAAGAGUGGAUAUGGUGAUAUACUAGCUUCGUUGUUGUUAUUAGAAGAAGAAGCCAAGCAAGAAGAAGCAGAGUGGAUGAGUGAAUCCCAACAAGAGAAAGCUUUGUUUGAAUCCAAUCACAAAAGAAAAGUUCAAGCAAUGAAUGAGUUUUACGAUCAGCUUCAACAACAUUACUCUGAAACUGUGAAACCAUCUUGGAAAUCUGUUUCUGCUUUGGCUGCCACUGUUGCAACGACUUCAGGGAAUGACACGACAACGAAGGCGGAGGUGGCAGUGGCGGGGGGUCAACAAAGGAGGUUAUGGGUGAAAGAUCGAUCAAAGGAUUGGUGGGAUCGUUGUAACCAUCAAGAUUUCCCGGAGGAAGAGUUCCGAAAGGCGUUUCGGAUGAGUAAAUCGACGUUCGGGUUAAUAUGCAGGGAAUUAGAGCCGGUGGUGAUGAAGAAGAAUACUAUGCUGAGAGAUGCAAUACCUGUUCGACAACGAGUAGCUGUUUGUAUAUGGAGGUUGGCAACAGGGGAGCCGCUUAGGCUUGUUUCAAAACGAUUUGGACUUGGGAUUUCAACUUGUCAUAAGCUGGUAUUAGAGGUAUGUUCAGCGAUAAACAAUGUCUUGAUGCCCAAGUUUCUUCAAUGGCCCGAUGAGAAGAAAAUGAAAGAAAUUAAUGAAGAAUUUGAGUUGAGAUCGGGGGUACCAAAUAUAGGAGGUUCAUUGUAUACAACUCAUGUACCAAUUAUAGCACCUAAAGUUAAUGUAGCAGCUUAUUUCAAUAGAAAGCAUACAGAAAGGAACCAGAAGCCUUCUUAUUCAAUUACAGUACAAGGAGUGGUUGAUCAAAAAGGGAUUUUCACAGAUGUUUGUAUUGGAUGGCCUGGUUCAAUGCCUGAUGAUCA